CCUACGGGGGCAGCAGUGGGGAAUUUUUCGCAAUGGGGGCAACCCUGACGAAGCAAUGCCGCGUGGAUGAAGAAGGCCUUCGGGUUGUAAAGUCCUUUCGUGGGGGGACGAAAAGGCGGGGGCCCUAAUACGGUCUGUUAUUGACGUGAACCCAAGAAGAAGCACCGGCUAACUCCGUGCCGCGCCG
RNAcentral lists this ribosomal RNA (187 nucleotides) under uncultured bacterium. RNAcentral's name for it is "partial 16S ribosomal RNA". It matches the Rfam family "Bacterial small subunit ribosomal RNA", at positions 338 to 517 of the family's 1533-position model. The record is from RNAcentral.